GACGAACGCUGGCGUCGUGCUUACACAUGCAAGUCGAACGGAAAGGCCCUGCUUGCAGGGUACUCGAGUGGCGAACGGGUGAGUAACACGUGGGUGAUCUGCCCUGCACUUCGGGAUAAGCCUGGGAAACUGGGUCUAAUACCGGAUAGGAGCCAUUUUUAGUGUGAUGGUUGGAAAGUUUUUUCGGUGUAGGAUGAGCUCGCGGCCUAUCAGCUUGUUGGUGGGGUAAUGGCCUACCAAGGCGGCGACGGGUAGCCGGCCUGAGAGGGUGGACGGCCACAUUGGGACUGAGAUACGGCCCAGACUCCUACGGGAGGCAGCAGUGGGGAAUAUUGCACAAUGGGCGCAAGCCUGAUGCAGCGACGCCGCGUGGGGGAUGUCGGCCUUCGGGUUGUAAACUCCUUUCGCUAGGGACGAAGCUUUUGUGACGGUACCUAGAUAAGAAGCACCGGCUAACUACGUGCCAGCAGCCGCGGUAAUACGUAGGGUGCGAGCGUUGUCCGGAUUUAUUGGGCGUAAAGGGCUCGUAGGUGGUUGAUCGCGUCGGAAGUGUAAUCUUGGGGCUUAACCCUGAGCGUGCUUUCGAUACGGGUUGACUUGAGGAAGGUAGGGGAGAAUGGAAUUCCUGGUGGAGCGGUGGAAUGCGCAGAUAUCAGGAGGAACACCAGUGGCGAAGGCGGUUCUCUGGGCCUUUCCUGACGCUGAGGAGCGAAAGCGUGGGGAGCGAACAGGCUUAGAUACCCUGGUAGUCCACGCUGUAAACGGUGGGUACUAGGUGUGGGGUCCAUUCCACGGGUUCCGUGCCGUAGCUAACGCUUUAAGUACCCCGCCUGGGGAGUACGGCCGCAAGGCUAAAACUCAAAGGAAUUGACGGGGCCCCGCACAAGCGGCGGAGCAUGCGGAUUAAUUCGAUGCAACGCGUAGAACCUUACCUGGGUUUGACAUGGAUCGGGAGUGCUCAGAGAUGGGUGUGCCUCUUUUGGGGUCGGUUCACAGGUGGUGCAUGGCUGUCGUCAGCUCGUGUCGUGAGAUGUUGGGUUAAGUCCCGCAACGAGCGCAACCCUUGUUCACUGUUGCCAGCACGUUAUGGUGGGGACUCAGUGGAGACCGCCGGGGUCAACUCGGAGGAAGGUGGGGAUGACGUCAAGUCAUCAUGCCCCUUAUGUCCAGGGCUUCACGCAUGCUACAAUGGCUGGUACAGAGAGUGGCGAGCCUGUGAGGGUGAGCGAAUCUCGGAAAGCCGGUCUCAGUUCGGAUUGGGGUCUGCAACUCGACCUCAUGAAGUCGGAGUCGCUAGUAAUCGCAGAUCAGCAACGCUGCGGUGAAUACGUUCCCAGGGCU
Molecule: ribosomal RNA, 1341 nt
Filed under: uncultured bacterium
Lineage: Bacteria
Description: bacterial SSU rRNA
Rfam family: Bacterial small subunit ribosomal RNA
Source: RNAcentral